RNAcentral lists this microRNA precursor (91 nucleotides) under Spinacia oleracea (spinach). RNAcentral's name for it is "mir-166 microRNA precursor family". It matches the Rfam family "mir-166 microRNA precursor family". From Rfam's summary of the family: This family represents the plant microRNA (miRNA) precursor mir-166. Animal miRNAs are transcribed as ~70nt precursors and subsequently processed by the Dicer enzyme to give a ~22nt product. Lineage: Eukaryota; Viridiplantae; Streptophyta; Magnoliopsida; Caryophyllales; Amaranthaceae. The record is from Rfam by way of RNAcentral.
GUUGAGGGGAAUGUUGUCUGGCUCGAGGACUCGUAUGGAUUUAGAUCGAGAUCUUAUAAUGGUCGCCGGACCAGGCUUCAUUCCCCCCAAU